Molecule: transfer RNA, 92 nt
Filed under: Bacillota bacterium
Lineage: Bacteria; Bacillati; Bacillota
Also listed under: 2 other names
Description: tRNA-Ser
Rfam family: tRNA
About the family: Transfer RNA (tRNA) molecules are approximately 80 nucleotides in length. Their secondary structure includes four short double-helical elements and three loops (D, anti-codon, and T loops).
Source: RNAcentral
GGAAGGGUGCUGGAGCGGCUUAACAGGCACGCCUGGAGAGCGUGUAGGCGGGGUAACCUGCCUCGUGGGUUCAAAUCCCACCCCUUCCGCCA